RNAcentral lists this ribosomal RNA (446 nucleotides) under uncultured bacterium. RNAcentral describes it as "partial 16S ribosomal RNA". It matches the Rfam family "Bacterial small subunit ribosomal RNA", at positions 338 to 795 of the family's 1533-position model. The record is from RNAcentral.
CCUACGGGUGGCAGCAGUCGAGAAUCAUUCACAAUGGGGGAAACCCUGAUGGUGCGACGCCGCGUGGGGGAAUGAAGGUCUUCGGAUUGUAAACCCCUGUCAUGUGGGAGCAAAUUAAAAAGAUAGUACCACAAGAGGAAGAGACGGCUAACUCUGUGCCAGCAGCCGCGGUAAUACAGAGGUCUCAAGCGUUGUUCGGAAUCACUGGGCGUAAAGCGUGCGUAGGCUGUUUCGUAAGUCGUGUGUGAAAGGCGCGGGCUCAACCCGCGGACGGCACAUGUUACUGCGAGACUGGAGUGAUGGAGGGGGAACCGGAAUUCUCGGUGUAGCAGUGAAAUGCGUAGAUAUCGAGAGGAACACUCGUGGCGAAGGCGGGUUCCUGGACAUUAACUGACGCUGAGGCACGAAGGCCAGGGGAGCGAAAGGGAUUAGAUACCCUAGUAGUC